GGUACUUUAUGAUAUAAAUGAUCAAGGUUGUUGUAGGAAAGAAAAUUUCAUGGCAUGAAAUACCAUUUUGUACAUAUUAAAAACAAAUCUAUUGAAAUAUUAGACA
This is a non-coding RNA of Tinamus guttatus (white-throated tinamou), 106 nucleotides long. The record is from RefSeq and is a predicted model, not a curated record. Lineage: Eukaryota; Metazoa; Chordata; Aves; Tinamiformes; Tinamidae.